This 590-nucleotide ribosomal RNA is filed under the name Pelobates cultripes (western spadefoot toad). It matches the Rfam family "Eukaryotic small subunit ribosomal RNA", at positions 135 to 594 of the family's 1831-position model. Lineage: Eukaryota; Metazoa; Chordata; Amphibia; Anura; Pelobatidae. The record is from RNAcentral.
UUAAUUGUGGUAACCCACAAAAUAUUGGGAUAUACAACAAAAGAAACAUUUGCGGCCUGCGGUGCAUUUCUUGCAGUCCUGAUGCAUGGAGAAAUGCUCAACUCUUGAUGCAUGAAGAAAAGGCCUAGUUUAUACUAAGUGACCCAUAGGUUGAGGAGGCGGUGACCGUGGCGGUGGAGGAUGAGGAUGAGGUAGCGAACACUGUUUUCUUUGCGCAGGCACUUUGUUGACUCUAGAGAACCUCGGGCCAAUUGCACAUCCCUGUGGCGUCGACUUUGCAUGCGGAUGUCAUCCAUAUCAACUUUUGAUGCCAGUUUCUGCGCCUACCAUGGUGACCACGUGUAACGGGGAAUCAGGGUUCCAUUCCGUACAGGGACCCUGAGAAACUGCUACCACAUGCAAGGAAGGCAGCAGGCACGCAAAUGACCCACUCACGACGCAGGAAGGUAGUGACGACAAAUAACAAUACAGGACUCUUUAGAGGCCCUGUAAUUGUAAUGAGUCCACUUGAAAUCCUUUAACUCUGAUCAAGUGGAGGGAACUCUGGUGCAGAGCCACUGACCCAUGUGUGCUGCAGCUGAAACUCCACA